AACGAACGCUGGCGGCAUGCCUAACACAUGCAAGUCGAACGAGACCUUCGGGUCUAGUGGCGCACGGGUGCGUAACGCGUGGGAACCUUCCCUUAGGUUCGGAAUAACUCCCCGAAAGGGGUGCUAAUACCGGUUAAUGUCUUCGGACCAAAGAUUUAUCGCCUUUGGUUGGGCCCGCGUUGGAUUAGCUAGUUGUUAGUGUAAAAGCAUACCAAGGCUACGAUCCUUAGCUGUUCUGAGAGGAUGAUCAGCCACACUGGGACUGAGACACGGCCCAGACUACUACGGGAGGGAGCAGUGGGGAAUAUUGGAAAAUGGGCGAAAGCCUGAUCCAGCAAUGCCGCGUGAGUGAUGAAGGCCUUAGGGUUGUAAAGCUCUUUUACCCGGGAUGAUAAUGACAGUACCGGGAGAAUAAGCUCCGGCUAACUCCGUG
RNAcentral lists this ribosomal RNA (433 nucleotides) under uncultured bacterium. RNAcentral's name for it is "partial 16S ribosomal RNA". It matches the Rfam family "Bacterial small subunit ribosomal RNA", at positions 29 to 507 of the family's 1533-position model. The record is from RNAcentral.